RNAcentral lists this ribosomal RNA (867 nucleotides) under Centrocestus formosanus. RNAcentral describes it as "partial large subunit ribosomal RNA". It matches the Rfam family "Eukaryotic large subunit ribosomal RNA", at positions 438 to 929 of the family's 3401-position model. Lineage: Eukaryota; Metazoa; Platyhelminthes; Trematoda; Opisthorchiida; Heterophyidae. The record is from RNAcentral.
CUGGUGAGCAUGGUUUGAGCUUGGUCAAAUUGGCUGAAGUGCGGAGUCUGCGGAUUAGCAGGUCCUCGCCUUUUGGUGGGGAUGCGUGAGGCACUCAUCAGGUGUUGCGCGCUCCGUACUGAAUCGGGCCAGCUUGCCAGUGCACUUUCACAGAGUGGUCACCACGACCGGCAUUGCUGUCGGACUGUUGUGGUUAAACCGGUCUUGCAUUGUCCUUGUGACUUUGUUUGGUCGGGAUGGCAGGUAGCUCGUUGGCUUGCUUGUGGUUCGCUGCAGGCAUUUGGUCUUCGGGUGUAAUCAGCUGACCACAUCAGUACUGUGCAGUAUGUCGGAGACGGCGGCUUGUGGUGUGCGCGUUCGUGCCAGUUGGCUGGCGUGUCCGGGUUUGGUUAUUAUGUUGCCUGUGUGUGCAGGCCUGAUGAUAGCCCGGAUUCGUUCGGUCGACGGUUGCGUUCGGUCCACUGAUACCAGGGCCCAUAGUCUGUGGUGUUGCGGUAGACUUUCCACCUGACCCGUCUUGAAACACGGACCAAGGAGAGUAACAUGUGCGCGAGUCAUUGGGCGUAACGAAACCCAAAGGCGAAGUGAAAGUAAAGGUCUGGCUUGUCUGGACUGAGGUGAGAUCCUGUCGUUUCUCAUGCGCGGUAUCACCAAGCUACGAGCGGCAGGCGCAUCACCGGCCCGUCCCAUGGUGUGGUGACACUUUUCGGAGUGUUCAUCACCGGGGCGGAGCAUGAGCGUACAUGUUGAGACCCGAAAGAUGGUGAACUAUGCUUGCGCAGGUUGAAGCCAGAGGAAACUCUGGUGGAGGACCGCAGCGAUUCUGACGUGCAAAUCGAUCGUCAGACGUGAGUAUAGGGGCGAAAG